This 350-nucleotide ribosomal RNA is filed under the name uncultured Pseudomonas sp. RNAcentral describes it as "bacterial SSU rRNA". It matches the Rfam family "Bacterial small subunit ribosomal RNA", at positions 1073 to 1425 of the family's 1533-position model. The record is from RNAcentral. Lineage: Bacteria; Pseudomonadati; Pseudomonadota; Gammaproteobacteria; Pseudomonadales; Pseudomonadaceae.
AAUUUGGGGUAGUCCGUACAAGCGCACCCUUGUCCUUAGUUACCAGCACGUUAAGGUGGGCACUCUAAGGAGACUGCCGGUGACAAACCGGAGGAAGGUGGGGAUGACGUCAAGUCAUCAUGGCCCUUACGGCCUGGGCUACACACGUGCUACAAUGGUCGGUACAAAGGGUUGCCAAGCCGCGAGGUGGAGCUAAUCCCAUAAAACCGAUCGUAGUCCGGAUCGCAGUCUGCAACUCGACUGCGUGAAGUCGGAAUCGCUAGUAAUCGUGAAUCAGAAUGUCACGGUGAAUACGUUCCCGGGCCUUGUACACACCGCCCGUGGGGCGGGGGCGGCGGGCCGGGCGCGGG